This 310-nucleotide unclassified non-coding RNA is filed under the name uncultured Chaetomium. RNAcentral describes it as "sequence contains ITS1". The stretch from base 1 to 105 matches the Rfam family "5.8S ribosomal RNA", at positions 50 to 154 of the family's 154-position model. Lineage: Eukaryota; Fungi; Ascomycota; Sordariomycetes; Sordariales; Chaetomiaceae. The record is from RNAcentral.
GAAAUGCGAUAAGUAAUGUGAAUAGCAGAAUGCAGUGAAUCAUCGAAUCUUUGAACGCACAUCGCGCCCGCCAGUAUUCUGGCCCGCAUGCCAGUUCAAGCGUCAUUUCAACCAUCAAGCCCCCGGGCUUGUGUUGGGGACCCUGCGGCUGCCCGCCGGCCCUGAAAUGCAGUGGCGGGCUCGCUGUCCACACCGAGCGUAGUAGCAUUACACCUCGCUCAGGGCGUGCGGCGGGCUCCGGCCGUUAAACGCGACCCUAACGCAUACCAAGGUUGACCUCGGAUCAGGUAGGAAGACCCGCUGAACUUAA